GCGGAGGGCCGGAUGGCCGCGGUCCCGGAGAAGAUCCGGGGGCGAGGAAAGUCCGGACUCCACAAGGCAACGGUGCCGGGUAACGCCCGGCCGGGGCAACCCGAGGGAAAGCGCCACAGAAAAGAAACCGCCCGCGCGUGUCGUAGGCAAGGGUGAAACGGUGGGGUAAGAGCCCACCGCGGGACGGGCAACCGGACCGGCACGGCAAGCCCCACCGGGAGCAAUGCCAAAUAGGGACCGCACGCGGGGGCUGGUCCGGGAUCACGGUCCCGCGAUACCGCCCGCAGGCACGUCUUGGCCCGGCGGUCCGGGUUGGCAGCUGGAGGCGCGCUGGUGACAGAGCGUCAAGAGGAAUGGUCAUCCAUCCCGUUCCCCGGAGCGGGAGGACAGAAUCCGGCUUACAGGCUCUCCGCGCGU
This 417-nucleotide RNase P RNA is filed under the name Roseovarius azorensis. Its description in RNAcentral is "Bacterial RNase P class A". It matches the Rfam family "Bacterial RNase P class A". Rfam says of the family: Ribonuclease P (RNase P) is a ubiquitous endoribonuclease, found in archaea, bacteria and eukarya as well as chloroplasts and mitochondria. The record is from Rfam by way of RNAcentral. Lineage: Bacteria; Pseudomonadati; Pseudomonadota; Alphaproteobacteria; Rhodobacterales; Roseobacteraceae.